AACGAACGCUGGCGGCAUGCCUAACACAUGCAAGUCGAACGAGACCUUCGGGUCUAGUGGCGCACGUGUGCGUAACGCGUGGGAACCUGCCCUUAGGUUCGGAAUAACUCCCCUAAAGGGGUGCUAAUACCGGAGAGUGUCUUCGCGCCAAAGAUGUAUCGCCUUUGGAUGGGGCCGCGUUGGAUUAGCUGGUUGGUAGGGGAAAAGCCUGCCAAGGCGACGAUCCAUAGCUGGUCUGAGAGGAUGAUCAGCCACACUGGGAAUGAGACACGGACCAGAAUCCUACGGGAGGCAGCAGUGGGGAAUAUUGGACGCUGGGCGAAAGCCUGAUACAGCAAUGCCGCGUGAGUGAUGAAGGCCUUAGGGUUGUAAAGCUCUUUUACCCGGGAUGAUAAUGACAGUACCGGGAGAAUAAGCACCGGCUAACUACGUG
This 433-nucleotide ribosomal RNA is filed under the name uncultured bacterium. RNAcentral describes it as "partial 16S ribosomal RNA". It matches the Rfam family "Bacterial small subunit ribosomal RNA", at positions 29 to 507 of the family's 1533-position model. The record is from RNAcentral.